AUGGAGGAAGCUUUAGCUCUCAAAUUCGGUCUAACACUAACGCAAAGGGCGGGAUGCAAUCGCCUUGUUAUAAAUUUGGAUAAUAUGAAGGUGAUUAAAACUAUGAAUGAUGGAGGACAGUCGGCGGGCACGGCAGCAGCAAUCUUCGAUGAUUGUUAUUUAUGCUGUGAUUUCGUUAUUGCUAAAUUUGAGCAAUGUAAUAGGAAAGCAAACAAAGUAGCUCAUGAGUUUGCUAGACUAGCUAAAUUUUCUUUGACUUCCGAUUAGUUUGAGAAGCCUUUAAAUGAAAUUGCAACGAUCCUCACAACGAUGUACUACUUAUCACAAAUGAAUAAAACCUGA
This 342-nucleotide ribosomal RNA is filed under the name Triticum aestivum (bread wheat). RNAcentral describes it as "partial small subunit ribosomal RNA". The record is from RNAcentral. Lineage: Eukaryota; Viridiplantae; Streptophyta; Magnoliopsida; Poales; Poaceae.